RNAcentral lists this long non-coding RNA (481 nucleotides) under Leguminivora glycinivorella. RNAcentral's name for it is "uncharacterized LOC125228866, transcript variant X2". Lineage: Eukaryota; Metazoa; Arthropoda; Insecta; Lepidoptera; Tortricidae. The record is from RNAcentral.
CAUGACAGUAAAACCAAACCAUAACAGUGAAACAGAAGGUACCUAUUUUGUACCAGUUAAUCUUCGGGCUAGAUCUCGCUCGUGCGAGGAGGCCCUAAAAGACUUGUGAACCCCUUGUGAACGCCCUCGGUGAUCCUUAACUGGCGUGAACUGGCGCAGGAUAGGGCAGAGUGGCGAUCUCUUGUGUCGGAUCUCGUGUGAUCCUCUUUGGGUCGCUGAGCCAGUGAAAUUAUGAGUAUUAGCCACGAUAUAACUCAUGAAGGAGGGAGAACCUAGAGAACGAACCUAUGGAACGAGAGAGAGUUGGUCAUAAAUAGAACAGGAGCGAUGAGAUAUUGGAGAAACUGUUAGAAGGAGAUCGUCCAAUGACGGCGUUCUUGUGCUAUCAAAUAGGUACCUAAUGUGAAGAUAAUACCUAGAUUUCUACUCGUCUAAUACCUCGCCUACCUCGAAAAAUUCAAUAAAUCAAUCAAUCAAAAUA